This 614-nucleotide ribosomal RNA is filed under the name uncultured cyanobacterium. Its description in RNAcentral is "bacterial SSU rRNA". It matches the Rfam family "Bacterial small subunit ribosomal RNA", at positions 122 to 770 of the family's 1533-position model. Lineage: Bacteria; Bacillati; Cyanobacteriota. The record is from RNAcentral.
GAAUCUGGCCUCAGGUCCGGGACAACCAUUGGAAACGGUGGCUAAUACCGGAUGUGCCUAAUGGUGAAAGAUUAAUUGCCUGAGGAUGAGCUCGCGUCUGAUUAGCUAGUUGGUGGGGUAAAAGCCUACCAAGGCGACGAUCAGUAACUGGUCUGAGAGGAUGACCAGUCACACUGGGACUGAGACACGGCCCAGACUCCUACGGGAGGCAGCAGUGGGGAAUUUUCCGCAAUGGGCGAAAGCCUGACGGAGCAAUACCGCGUGAGGGAGGAAGGCUCUUGGGUUGUAAACCUCUUUUCUCAGGGAAGAAAAAUGACGGUACCUGAGGAAUCAGCAUCGGCUAACUCCGUGCCAGCAGCCGCGGUAAUACGGAGGAUGCAAGCGUUAUCCGGAAUUAUUGGGCGUAAAGCGUCUGUAGGUGGACGUUCAAGUCUGCUGUCAAAGACCGGGGCUUAACCCUGGAAAGGCGGUGGAAACUGAAAGCCUAGAGUGCGGUAGGGGUAGAGGGAAUUCCCAGUGUAGCGGUGAAAUGCGUAGAGAUCAGGAAGAACAUCGGUGGCGAAGGCGCUCUGCUGGACCAUAACUGACACUCAGGGACGAAAGCUAGGGGAGCG